AUAUCUAUAUAGCACAGAACCCAGUACAUUUUAUUUUUUUCAAGAGAGCUGAUGGAUGGUGUAAAUCAGCAAAAAAUAAGUUUGGAAGUUCCAGUUCUUUGAUGUGUACCUUUCGAAAUAAGAAAGGUCGGUAAAACAGCCGUUAUCUGUUAACAAGAGCAGCAUAUUUAUAUGUUGAACUCGGGUGGUACCGCGAAUGUUAGACCGAUUCGUCCCAAGA
This 220-nucleotide non-coding RNA is filed under the name Enterococcus hirae. RNAcentral describes it as "T-box sequence". It matches the Rfam family "T-box leader". Rfam says of the family: Uncharged tRNA acts as the effector for transcription antitermination of genes in the T-box leader family. Lineage: Bacteria; Bacillati; Bacillota; Bacilli; Lactobacillales; Enterococcaceae. The record is from RNAcentral.